ACUGCCGAGAACAGAAGUUUAUCUGCACGCUUAAAGCAAAAGCUUAAAAUAGAGGCUGUGCUGUUCAGGGCAGCCCAGAGGAGGCCCGCAUCCAUAGAAGCACAGGAUUGCUGUGACAGGGCCUGAGUCUGAAUGGGGAAAGGGAGUCGUACUGCAGACACCAGAAGCUGUGUUCGGGCCUCUUACCCCCACAGCGCCCUGCCAAGACUCCUCGGCCAGAGAUCCCCUUUGUGCACUCAGCUUUCCCACACGACAUGCGCUCGGAUUUGUGGGAAAAGUUCCCCCUAUUUCCCCUCCUGCCCUUGGAAGACCAGAAAUAAUUACCUAGUUAACUCCCAUCCUGUUUUCAUGAAACCCAUCUUUUUCCUAAGUGGAAGAAGAAAUUGUUCAGCGAUAAAAGAAAUUUUAAUUAAAUCAAGAAUGAAGCCACACAUUCACACAUCAUUUACUUGGGCUUAAGGUGCUUGGGCUUUUCGAAGUCUAAAAGCCACAAUAGAAAACGGUGCUUUUAACUCGAAAGACAUCAAAAGUCUAUUUUAAAUCUGAAAUGGCAGAGAAUUCACAAUUAUUUGUAAUUUGAUUAUAAUGAAUAAAACACUUGUGCACAGCUGUCAUAAAUCAAAAUAAAAAAGAUCCAGUCGAUCCUGUUACACACAAGAAAGUAAU
This is a long non-coding RNA of Tupaia belangeri chinensis (Chinese tree shrew), 666 nucleotides long. RefSeq lists it as uncharacterized. The record is from RefSeq and is a predicted model, not a curated record. Lineage: Eukaryota; Metazoa; Chordata; Mammalia; Scandentia; Tupaiidae. The transcript has 3 exons.